UCAGUGCUGGAAUGACUACAACUUGCUU
This 28-nucleotide small RNA is filed under the name Bombyx mori (domestic silkworm). RNAcentral describes it as "ovarian small RNA-25809". The record is from RNAcentral. Lineage: Eukaryota; Metazoa; Arthropoda; Insecta; Lepidoptera; Bombycidae.